AUACGUAGGUGGCAAGCGUUAUCCGGAAUCAUUGGGCGUAAAGGGUGCGUAGGCGGCUUCUUAAGUUUGUAGUGAAAUCGUAGGGCUCAACUCUAUCUAGCUACAAAAACUGGGAGGCUGGAGUGCGGUAGAGGCUAGUGGAAUUCCUCGUGUAGCGGUAAAAUGCGUAGAUAUUGGGAAGAACACCGGUGGCGAAGGCGCCUUUCUGGACUGUGUCUGACGCUCAGAUGCGAAAGCCAGGGUAGCGAACGGGAUUAGAUACCCUGGUAGUCCACACUGUAAACGAUGAAUGCUAGGUGUAGGGGGUAUCGACCCCUUCUGUGCCGCAGUCAACACAAUAAGCAUUCCGCCUGGGGAGUACGGCCGCAAGGUUGAAACUCAAAUGAAUUGGCGGGG
This 396-nucleotide ribosomal RNA is filed under the name uncultured bacterium. RNAcentral describes it as "partial 16S ribosomal RNA". It matches the Rfam family "Bacterial small subunit ribosomal RNA", at positions 523 to 918 of the family's 1533-position model. The record is from RNAcentral.